GAUGAACGCUGGCGGCGUGCCUAAUACAUGCAAGUCGAGCGAACGGACGAGAAGCUUGCUUCUCUGAUGUUAGCGGCGGACGGGUGAGUAACACGUGGAUAACCUACCUAUAAGACUGGGAUAACUUCGGGAAACCGGAGCUAAUACCGGAUAAUAUUUUGAACCGCAUGGUUCAAAAGUGAAAGACGGCAUUGCUGUCACUUAUAGAUGGAUCCGCGCUGCAUUAGCUAGUUGGUAAGGUAACGGCUUACCAAGGCAACGAUGCAUAGCCGACCUGAGAGGGUGAUCGGCCACACUGGAACUGAGACACGGUCCAGACUCCUACGGGAGGCAGCAGUAGGGAAUCUUCCGCAAUGGGCGAAAGCCUGACGGAGCAACGCCGCGUGAGUGAUGAAGGUCUUCGGAUCGUAAAACUCUGUUAUUAGGGAAGAACAUAUGUGUAAGUAACUGUGCACAUCUUGACGGUACCUAAUCAGAAAGCCACGGCUAACUACGUG
Molecule: ribosomal RNA, 497 nt
Filed under: uncultured bacterium
Lineage: Bacteria
Description: partial 16S ribosomal RNA
Rfam family: Bacterial small subunit ribosomal RNA
Source: RNAcentral